UUUUUUAUCCUCCUUUCAUGUAAUAAUUUAUUACAGAAACUGGCUUACACUGGUUUGCUUUUUACGGUAGGAGGUUCCCCUCCUGAGCCUGCUAUAGUGCUUCUGCUUCUCAUUCCUUUGUUUAGCGAUGGGUCUCAUAUAGCACAGCUUGGCCUCCAACUUACUAUGUACCCAACGAUGACCCUAAACUUCUGAUCCUCCUACUUCUACCUCCUGAGUGCUGCUGGGAUUUUAGGAAUGUGCCUCAGUGCCCAGUUUUAUGGCGUUUGGAGAUCAAGCCAAGGCUUUUGUGUAUGCACUUCACUGUGUGGACCAACAAAUACUAGGUACAAAGCCAACUGAAGUCAACUGCCAAGUAAGGGACUGCCAUUCUAUUAGCCCUCCUAUACAGUUGGUAAGUCUGCUUGUCCUAUUUCCACUCUGACAGUCUGAAUGACUCUCUAGUAUUAGCAUUCCUUUUUCCCCAACACUAGCACAAAAAAUGUUAGUAAUUACCGAAGUUAGAUAAGUCAUGGUGCGCACAAUGAUCCCCCUUUUAAAAUAAAAUAAUAAAACUGGAAAAUGAUUAAUUCUUUCCUCAUGCCUGAGUCAGGUAUGCUUGAGUCGGUCACUGUCGCAUUGACUGGGGGAGCUUAGAAGCUGUCUUUUGAGUCGAUGGCUCAAACAAGCUUCGGCCUCUCCUGGUGCACAAGACCAUCGCAUUUGAUGCUAUUUAUUACGACUGAACCCUGUUCGUGUGGUAUCAGCCUUGUCUCUGUGGAAGCCCGUCUAUUAUCAAAAGCCUCUGCGUGCUUUAUGUUCAAAGCGCCCAGCAAUGGAUAGAAAGCCAGGACUGUCCUAGAUCAGGGGACCGUCACAUCACCCAGAAGCUGAGGAAAUGAUUACAAGGCACCUGUCUGAGCUCUGCAUGGUCCUGCUGGAGAGAAGCAAAACACCCUUCAGGUCUUGUAAUUUAACUGCUGCCAGUCAUAUCUCAGAACAAGUUUAGGUCAGCUUCUGAAGAUGUUUCAAGUUUAUUAUAUGCAAUUACUAUAGCCUGAUUUUACGUGAGUAAUGACCUCUCAGUUCUCUGGGCCAGUGUGUAGGCAACCCUCAUGGCUAUGAGACAGAAAAAAAAAUAUUUAGCACAUUCAAAUAUUUAAAGAGAAAAAGAUCUAACCUGAUUAAAACGACUGAAAACAAUUGCUAUUAUUCACCCCAUUUUAGUGGUAUUUCUUUGUCGUUUGUGUCUGCUUUUUUAUAUUCGUGGUGCAUGGGUGCCGCUGACAUGUGUAUGUGCACAUGCAUGUGCACAUUCUCACAAGUGGAUUCUCACAAGAUCAAUUUUGUCACCUCCAUUUUAAACUUUUAAAAAACUGAUGUUAAGGUCCCCGUGGUUGACAUGAUCAUCUAACCUUUUCAAUCAUAUUGAAAUUUAUUCCAAAAUGUUUCAGAAGUUAUGUGUGAGAGGAGUGUUUAUAAGAAAGGAUUUGCUGAUGAUGCUCUUCUACAGUGUAGAUGUAGAUCAGUACAAUACAGUGGCCAUAUUUGAGACCUCAGAAGAUAGAAUUUUCUAGUCAGAGGAGACUGUAGUAACUGAGAGGAUUGAACUUAAAAAGUGGCAACUGUUGUGAGCUAACCUAUUGUGUUCCAGGCAGAGAUCACCUGACUUCCCAAGACUUCCCUCAAGCCCAGGAUUGAUUGACCUCAGACAUGAUGACACAAUAGAAGAAUGACAUGAAUUUUGUCUGAGGGCAGUUAGCGGGAGGCUGGAGGCUGAAGGCUCGAGGCUGGAGGCUGGAGGUGCAUGUGGGUAGUGGGACCUCAGAACAGGGUGACAAAGAGCAAGUGGGAGCUGCAUAUGUUGUAUGCCUGUGUCUUCCCAGCCCAGACCUUGUAAUGAAAUGUAAGAGAUGAACAAAAGUUUAAGGAAGUGUAAGGCACAGUUAACAGUUAACGGUCCUAUGGCCUUUUAAACACACACACACA
RNAcentral lists this small RNA (1968 nucleotides) under Rattus norvegicus (Norway rat). RNAcentral describes it as "uncharacterized LOC102553773". The record is from RNAcentral. Lineage: Eukaryota; Metazoa; Chordata; Mammalia; Rodentia; Muridae.